UCCCCACACGACGCUCUUCCGAUCUCCUCAAGAGUAUAUAUAUAUAUAUAUAUAUAUAUAUAAGACAAGUGAGUGUAUGUAUAUAUGUAUUGAGCACCGUUUUUAAAAAAAUUAGACAAGUGAACUUGGUUUUAUAAAGUACUCCCUCCGUUAAUUUUUACUUGGCAUAUAUACUAAAAAUAGAUUUCCAUUUUUACUUAUCAUUUUAUGCAUAUCAAGAGAAGAAUAAAAGAAAAUUUCUGUUAUACGCACAAAAUUUGUUACUCAUAUUAAAUUAUUUUCACAAAUCCAAUAUGAUAUGCAUUAAUUAAUAUGUGAAUCAUAAUAAAUAGCAUUUAUUAUUUUAUUAGGGGCGUGAAACAUCAAUACAUACCAAGUAAAAGUGAACGAAAGGAAUACAAAUAUCUGUAUCAAUUUAACGUUGAUUGCAUCACAACUAAAAUGAGAGAACCUAUAAUAAACAUACUUCCUCCGUCCCAACUUUACAGAUACCUUUUUUUAGUCAGUCCCCUUUCUAUAUUUGGUGAUAAUUUAAAUUUGGAUUCUUUUUACCCUUAAUAAAAUGAUUUCUAGCCACAUAAGUUUCUAUAAUUUGUUUUAUAUCACCAGUUUCAAAAAUCUUUCUUUAUUUCAUAAAUUUCAUGUCCAAUCAACACCGUUUCAUAUAAAUUAGGAUGGAGGGAGUAUAAUUUAUGUGGGAAAAAUAAAUAAUAACUUAGAUUAUAGAUAUAUUUGUGUGACUAGCUAAUAAAUAGAGAAUUAUAAUUCGGAAAACAUAAACUAAGAUUGGUAGAAAACUAUUUAGAGGAAGAUAUUAAGUUAUUACAAAUUAAUAUAAAAAUAAGUAAACAAAUUUACCAAUACUAAGAAAUAAUUAUAUAAAUAAUAUGAUAUGUAUAGAGAAAUAAUAAUUUUGGGGACCUUAAAGUUUUGGGGCCUAAAGAAAAUGCUUCACGUGCUUUAAAGUCUGGCCGCUUCCGGCAACAACAAUAACAAUCCAGUAUAAUCCCACUUAGUAGGGUUUAGGGAGGGUAGUAUGUACGCAGACGUUACCCCUAUCCUGGAAUAGAGAGGCUGUUUCCAAAUAGACCCCCGGCAUUCUUCCGUCCAAGAAUUUCCCACCUUGCUCUUGGGGAGACUCGAACUCACAACCGCUCCUGACAACCUGAUUAAAAAAAAAAGAUUCAAAAGUUUGUCUUGUUUCGCAGUUGUCAUCUAAUGAAAAAUCAAGUAAACAAAACGUCAAUGAGCCCAAGUUGGACGAACUUAAUUGAACUCACAUGCAGACAACGAUUUUCCUGAAGAAGUCACGUAUGUUGAAGAUCCAAAGACUUCAUUUCUCCAAAAGGAACAAAGUCGUCUAGAAAUUCAUCAAAGAUUUUGUAUUAUAAUGGAGGGGUAUAUUAUAGGAAUGAUCAUCAUAUUUCUCUCUUCUCUACUUUUUGUUAUAAAAAUAGGCAACAACAAGAAGAAGAAACAUAGACAGUGUCCUGCAAGGAUCGAUAUAAGAAAAAGAAAUAGAGCUUCAAACUUAUGAUUCUGGUGGCAGCGAAGGAGAUAUGCAUGGGAACGGCAAUGUGUUAUUGCUGGAGCUUCUGCCACGGCAUCUCUGACCAGCAUAGCUAUUGAUUUAAUUAGUGAUGGUUAUCAUGGUGAUGGUGGUGGAGGAGGUGCCGAUGGUUGAGGCAGUGGCGAUCGUGGUGGUGAAAAUUGAAUAGGUUAAAUUGUAGCUUCUUACAUAGAAGUAAAUAAUUUUAUUUUAUAAAAUUAAAUUUCCUAUUUUACGCUCCUCUUUUUGGUAGAAAAUUUGUAUUUUUGCGGAAUCUCGGAUUCUAAGAACUCCUUGUUACCUGAGAAAUUCAGACAUUUUCUUUUGGUAAGUAAAAUAUAUUUUAUUUGCCAAAGAAAUAUGUACAAGUGAAAGAAAAUAUGGAUCGGACCCCAAUAUCAAACUUCCUAACUCCUCAAUUUGGCUAAGGAUAGAAAUUAAGAGCCUCUAACUUCUUUUUGGUCUGAUGGUAACCAACCCUCACUUACAACCGAGAGGUUGUGAGUUUGAGUCUCCCCAGGAGCAAAUUCUGGAGAUUUAUGCCGGGGGUCUAUUUGGAAACAGCCUCUCUACCCCUGGGUAGGGGUAAGGCUGCGUACACACUACCCUCCCUAGACACCACUGAGUGGUAUUGUACUGGGUCGUACUUUUUUAAAGGCAGAGAGAAACGGUUGUUGAUUCCUUGAUGUCUUAUUUUAAACUGCAAUUAUUAGUAAUCUCACUUUAAGGUCUUGUUGAUUCCUUAUUGCUUUUACGUCUCUUUUUAAACUACAAUUAUUAGAAAUCUCACUUUAAGGUCUGCUUUAUGAUUCUUUCAAGUAAUUAUAUCACAGUUUGCAUCUUUUUUCUAAUCUACAUUAGGAUAAGUUUGUAAAAUUAUUAGUAGCAAAUAACGAUCUUUUCUUCUUUUACUUUGCAUCGGGUUAACUUAUUGAAGGUUAUGAGUGUUGGAUUCUACCCUGAGAUUAUAGGUGAGGAAUCACUUUGGAUUUUUUAUGCCCAAAACUUAGGUUAAAAAUUUUCCUACUAAAUGGCAAGCCUCCUGGGAAUAUCCAUCAGUUUGGUCUCGACCUCCAUUGUUUCGUGACGAAUAAUGGCAGGCUGCUUGUUCUUUUCUCUCAAUAAAAAGCCACAUAUUAUUUUACUAAGAAGAAGUGUCAUAUGUUAAUCACUUAAUCCAUACAAUUCUGUAAGAGCCAAUUUACUAAAUUUAGUACGAUCACAAUCAGAUUAUUCCUCCCAUCCCUUAUUUCACGUUUUCUUUUCUAAAAUGCAAUGUAUAUUCCUAAAUUUAGGUCUCUUGGUCCUACAGAGCUGCCUUGAUCCGUUUUUGGUGAUUGUCUUUUCUUUGCUAAUUUACUCUUCAUGGGUUCCCUACCGACAACAACAACAAUCCAGUAUAAUCUCAUUUUGUGGGAUCUGGAGAGGAUAGUGUGUACGCAGACCUUACUCGUACCCUUGGGUAGAGAAGCUGUUUCCAAAUAGACCCCUCCCCCCCCAUCCUUCCCUCCAAGAACUUCCCACCUUACUCUUGGGGAGACUCGAGCUCACAACCUCUCGAUUGGAAGUGUGACUGCUUACCUCUUGAAUAAUUAAUCUGAUAAGCACAUCAAUUGGUUUAUUCUUCCCUAGCCUCGUGUUUCUUUCUAGCCAUAUAUAAUAAAUACAAGCAGCUACAAACAUUGCACCAGCUGAAUUCUUUUUUAACAUUUGCCUCUACCCAUUGUAGUUCUUGUUGCCAGGUGAAGACUUGUCUGAAUAUGCCUUGCAAUUCCAAAAGCUUACUCUAAACACUAGCAGAGACAACAUAGCUAAAAACAAGUGAUCUAUAGAUUCAUCUUCAUCAUUAUAUAAAGGACAUAUUCGUCAUUUGUAAUUCCCCAAGCAGCUAACCUAUCCCUUGUGAAUCUCUUCUGAAUAGCCAAAGUCAGUACAAAUUCAGACUUUUGCUAGUAAGUUUUAUUUGUUUCUUGUUUUAAAAGUUCAACGGGGUUAGUAUAUGGUAAAAUAGGUCAGUUUGUUGUUACAACUGGAAUAAAUGUAAGAUAUGUGAUUUCUACAUAUAUUGAUUAUCUUUAUAAAAAAAACGUCUUUUUCUAUGAGCUGAUCUCUUACACUAUAUUUGGAUGGUCCUUACCCAUGAUUUCAUAAUGUACAAUAUUAUAUUAUAUAAUAUUUUAUUAUGUUGUAUUGCACUGUAUUAAUGAAUAUAAUAUUUAAAUAGGUCAUUUUAUUUUUUGUGGUUUAAUAAUAUUAUUAUUGUUUGAAAUAAGUAACCACAUUAAAGAUACCAAGCCUAUAGUUGUAACAAUUGAGCUUUUUUAUAAUUAUAUAAUAAUGAAGUUACAACGUGUUUACAACAUCAUACAAUAUAAUUUUAAAAAUAAUAUAAACAAAUAUGGAAUCCAUGAAAACAAUAAAACAAUGAAUAAAUGGAUGUGGGACCUACCUAUAAAAUAAAAGAAAAAAAAAGUGAUUCGACGAAGAAGUAGCAAAGGUAGGCGCCUACAAUUUCAGAUGCAAUUUGCAAAUACAAUUUGCAGUACAGCAUUUUCUAUAAAUACCAGGCUUAUUUCUCAUUUGAAGUAGACCAAAAAGGAGAGUGAACGCAAUGAAGCAUAGAGAGAGUAAUUCAUAAAUUGUAAUAUCUGAGAUAAAUAGAGAGUGAACGUAAUAUCAUAGUGUGGUGUUUAAAAUAAAGAAUAUUAUUUUUUUUGAAGUUGUAAUAGUAUUUUAACACUACUGAUAAAUGAUAAUUUUGACUAUUUAUUAGUGCCUCUUUAUUUUCAUUUUAGUUCAAAAAUGUUUAAUUAUACUUUCGAAAACAGAGAAAAUAUGCUUGCUUGCAAAAGUAUUCGAAAAUGAGCCAUUACGAUGAAAUCCAACUCAAGAAAGACUGUUUUUGAACAAGGACAAAAAUGAAGCAACUAGGCUCAACUGCGGACCGCAGAAUUCUAUCUGCGACUGCAGAAUAUGAAGAAGAAUUAGUAGAGCUUCAAUAUUAAGUGUGAACCGCACAACAAUUGUGCAGUCGCAGAAGUCAAAGUUCAGAGAGUUCCAAAUUCAAGCCCAAUAAGAACUGCGGCCCGCAAAAAUCAAAUGUGCUGCCGCACCCAACAUUAUGCGGAUCGCAAAACACAAGAGAUGCGGCCGCAAUCCAGAAUUGUAUGUUCGUAGAAUCUACACAUGUCAAGAGUUAAAGAAAAGUGUGGACCGCACAUAGAAUUGUGCGGCCGCAUAACCUCCAAAAGGGCAAUUUUAAAAUUUUAGCUGUGUAUGAAUAGAAUUCUUUCACGAAAUUAUGUCAAGUUUUUGAGUAUUGCAUAUGUUGUAGCCGUUUUUCUUUACUUCUUUAGGAAACUUUAGCUUACUUUAGUGAUAUAACAUUGGAUUUUUUGUCUUUUACUUUCAGUAUGAGUUUAAUUAUCAUUUCUUCUCUAUUAUCUUCAUUACCCGUUAUGAGUAGCUAGAUUUUUAUCUAGGAUUAUGACCCAACCCUAGUGUCUAAACUGGGUAUUUAAUUUAUAGCUUGUAUAUGGUUAGGUGUUUGUUAUUUAGCCUUGUUCUUGCUUUUAAUUGUAAAAUUAAUGGUUGCAAAUAUUAGUUCAUGUCUAUUUGACUUGGUCUCUACUUGAGAUAGAGAGAUAUAGUCUAGGAAAACUUGGCUAACAAGAAUUAGGUAUGGAAUCAAGAGAUUGAUAGUCCCAAUUAAAGGGUUGAACCUAGAGGUAGUAAAAUUCGACUAGAGCAUUUUAUCAACUUGGUUCAAUACUCAUUUGGACUUGAGAAAGUAAAAUUUGGUAAAAUCACUCUCUUACCGAUAGGUAUUGAGUGGGUAAUUGAGCGUUGAUAGCUAUAAUAUACCCCCGACCAACAAAAUAAGAUUUAAAGUCUACAAUCCUAUUAGGGAAACACCUAGGUGAACGUCAUAACCCCAGGCCUUUUAUCUAGGAUUAUGACCCAACCCUAGUGUCUAAACCUAACGGGGAAUUUAAUUUAUAGCUUGUCUAUGGUUAGGUGUUUGUUAUUUUGCCUUGUUCUUGCUUUUAAUUGUAAAAUUAUUGGUUGCAAAUAUCAGUUCAUGUCUAUUUGACUUGGUCUCUACUUGAGAUAGAGAGACAUAGUCUAGGAAAACUUAGCUAACAAGAAUUAGUUAUGGAAUUAAGAGAUUGAUAGACCCAAUUAAAGGGUUGAACCUAGAGGUAGUAAAACUGACUAGAGCAUUUUAUCAACCGUUUGGUUCAAAGCCCAUUUGGACUUGAGAAAGUAAAAUUGGGUAAAAUCACUCUCUUACCGAUAGGUAUUGAGUGGAUAAUUGAGCGUUGAUAGCUAUAAUAUACCCCCGACCAUCAAAAUAAGAUUUAAAGUUUACAAUCUAUUAGGAAAAUACCUAGGUGAACGUCAUAACCCCAUGCUUUUUACAAUAUUUAAAAAACAACCAUUAAUAAUAUUUCCUAGUUUCAUACUUUUAGAAUUAAAUUCUUUAGCAUAAUUUUAUAAGUGAAACAAACCAUCUUUAUGAAAGUUCAAUCUAGAUACUUCAUGAGCCUAGUCUAGAUAUAUAUUACUUUAUCCUAUUUAUAUAGAUCCUUGUGAAAGUCGACCCCAACUCUUAGUUGGAUAUUACUAUUGCAUCGACCGUUUCAUAAUCUCGAAUAGAAGUGUGGCUUGGAUGAGAUCACUAUCAAGUUGUAAUAUUAUAAUGGUAUUAUAUUGCUCCCCUUGGGCAUUAUAUUUUACCCCGUUAAAAGAUCUGGUGACGUUGUUACUCUCUUGUAUUAUUGUAAUUUACGGUGGAUAUUAUUCCUGGGCAGGAUAUUAUUCCUGGGCAGGAUAUUAUUUUUUUUCCAAUAAUUUGGUAUCAGUGCCAUAGCUAAUAAUGGUCCUCUAUAUUUUCAAUACCUCCGUUUUAUAUAGAAAAUAAUAAGAAAUGGUAUCUACGUAUGAAAGUCAUUCUUGGCUCUCAGAAUGUGUGGGAAAUUAUAGAUACAGAGUAUGCAAAACCCGAUAAUAAGGAAGCUCUGCCUCAAAAUAAAAUAUAUGUUUUGACAAAGACAAGGAAGAAGGAUCAACAAGACCUCACACUCAUCCACCGAUAUUUGGAUAAUGCCAUGUUUAAGAAGGUGGCAGAUGCUACCACCUCAAAGGAAACUUGGGAGAUUUUAUAAAAUUCUCUUCAAGGAGUUGACAAGGUGAGGAAAGUAAAUUUUAAUCUCUAAGGGCUGAUUUUGAAGUUUUAAAAAUGAAAGAGUCCGAAUGCAUUUCAGAUUAUUGUUCAAAAAUGAAGGCUAUUGUGAAUCAAUUAAGAAGAUAUGGGGAGGACACAGAAGAUGUCCGUGCCAUAGAAAAGAUACUUUGCACAUUAACACUUAGACUCUAUGAUGGUAGAUUAAUGGUAGUCUCAUGGAAUUCGUCACCCUCUAACGGUACCUUAUUCACCCUACCAAAAUGGAGUUGCAAAGGGAAGGAAUCGACCGAUUCUUAAUAUGGUUAGAUGUAUUUUCAAAGCAAAAGUAUGCCCAAGAAAUUUUGGGUCGAAGCUGUUUCUUGUGCUGUUUAUUUGAACAACAGGUCUCCAAAAAGAAAUGUUAGAGAUCAAACCCCUCAACAAGUACGUAGUGGAAGAAAGCCAAUUGUUAAGCACUUGAGAAUCUUUGAGAGCAUAUUCUAUGCUCCUCUGCCACAGCAAGGGAGAGCAAAGCUUGACGAUAGAAGUGUCAAGCAUGUGUUUGUUGGCUAUGAUACGAGUUCAAAAGGCUACAAGAUAUACAAACCAAGCAUCGGCAAGGUGGUGGUGAGUCGUGAUAUUGAAUUUAAUGAAGAAUUGACUUGGAAUUGGGAGGGUCAAGAAGAAACUUCAUACAAUUUUCUUCAAUACUUUGGUGGUGAAGAAGAACUAGAGACCGUGGAACCUGUGCAGGAUGCAACUCCACCUCCUUCUCCAACCAAUGUUGCAUCUUCUUCUUCUCAACAAAGUUUAGAUAAACAACCGUAAAGGAUGAGAAAUAUUCAAGAGCUCUAUGAUGACAAAGAAGAAGUUACUAAUUUUGAUUUUUUAUAUUGUCUCUUUGGUGAUAGUAAACCAAUGAACUUUGAUGAGGCUGUUACAGACAAAAGGUGGAGACAAGCCAUGCAAGAGGAGAUCAUGUUAAUGGAUAAGAACAACACUUGGGAUCUAACAACACUUCCGAAGGGUCAUCGAGCAAUUGGAGUUAAAUGGGUAUACAAGAUUAAAAAAAUGCUAAUGGAGAUGUGGAGAAAUAUAAGGCACGAUUUGUGACUAAAGGCUACAAGCAAAUGCAAAACAUUGACUAUGAAGAAGUCUAUGCACCUAUUGUCCACACAGAGACUAUUCCUUUGUUGAUCUUUUUGGCGGCACAAAUGAAGUGGAAGAUCCAUCAACUACAUGUCAAGUUUCACAACCCUAAAACUGACCUGGUCGUGAUGGCACCUAUCAUGAAACUAGGCCAACUGACACAAACCUCAAUACCAACCAGAAAUUCAUAAUAAGUCGUUUAAAUCAAGUAAUUAGCUAAAACCCCAUAUUAUAAGUAAAAUGAACAGUGCUAAAACACAACACAGCCCGACAUCGGGGUGUCACCGAUCAUGAGCGACUAUAACUCAUCUAAGAAUAUAAAAAGACAACAUAGUCUAAAACAAAGCUAACACAAAGCUAAAUAAGAUAGGAAGGAGAAGCACCGGGCUGCUAACGCCAACCAACUACCUAGUCAACUCCGGAGACCUGCUGGGAGGCUGAUCAAUACUCGCUAUCGCGAACAGAGACUCCUGUAUAAUCAAACGGGGUGCGGAAAGUAAUGUGAGUACGCCAACUCAAAAAGUAAUAAAAGUAAAGGCAGCUGAGCAGUAAAAAACACAUAAACCAUAGCAUAAUGCUACAACAAAAUAGUAUAAGUCCAGAACAAUGCAGUAAAAUAAUAAAACAACGUAAAAACAUCUCAGUUUAGUAAAACCUUUUUCAAUUAUCUUUCAAUAGUUUCAAAAGAAUGAUGAAAACAGUGAGAAAAAGGAUAGAAACGUAAAUAGCCCAUUUGGUAAAACAUGCACCACAAUCGCCCCUUGAUCAAAAUAUCAACAUAACCAGCUCCUCGGGCUACCUCAUAAUCACUCGUAUUAGCCCCUAGGGUAAUAACAUAAAAUACCAACAGGCCAUCGGGCAAUAUCAUAUCUCACACUGGGUAUACGCGCUCACUAGGGGUACUCAGACUCCGGAGGGGCUUCUACAACCCAAGCACUAUUACAAGCCAUCUCAUGGCAUAACAAAUCAGGGCCUCAGCGUAUCAUAUAUCAUCAACCAGUAUGUAUGCUACGGUGCGCAUCCCGAUCCCAAAAUAUCUUCACAACACAGACCCUUGGCCUCACACAGCCAGAAAUCUCUCAAGCCCCCCGGGCAACAGUAAAACGUGAUGCUCAGCCCAAAAUAUUAUAUAAAAUGUCGAAAACGGAGUAAAUACGGAUGAGUUAUGAAAACAAAAGAAUACAAUACAAUUGAGUACAAUUACGAAGUCAAAAACAUUGAGGAAUAACAGUAAAAAGCCCAAAAGAGUCCAAAAAAUUGGCACGAGGCCCCAAAUAUGGAAUUUAGCCCAAACAAUGGUUAUAAUUUCCAAAACACAAUGAUAUCAAAUAGGAUUUAAUCAAAUACGCAACUUAACAGUCAUACGUGAUGGACCAAGUCACAUUCCCCAACGGUGUACGACCCCACGCUCGUCAUCUAGCAUGUGUGUCACCUCAAAGUAGCACAACAAUGUGAAAUCUGGGUUUUCAUACCCUGAGGACAACAUUUACAAUCAUUACUUACCUCAAUCCGGUCCAAACUCUAGCCCGCGAUGCCUUUUCCUCUCGACUCAGACUCUGGAUGCUCCAAAUCUAACUAAAAAUAGUACCAUACCAUCAAAAUAUGCCAAGGGAAUAAAGCCCACUCGAACAAUAACCAAUUUAAAACAAAAAAUGCCCAAAAUUAGCCAAACCCGACCCCAGCCCACGUCUUGGAUUCUGAUUAAAAAUCACAAAAUUGGAAUCUUUAUACUCUCACGAGUUCAUACAUAUCAAAUACAUCAAAAUACGACCACAAACGGCCCCUCAAAUCCCUAAAUCAAAGUCUCUAAUUUCAACCCCUAACUCCCCAGUUUUAGGUUUUAAAUCCCAUAAAUUUGUGUCUAAUUAGGUAAAAAUCACAGUAGGAUCGAGUAUUGAGUCAAAAAAUCUUACCUCCAAGUGUUUCCCUUUGAUUCCAUCUUCAAUCCUUCUCAAAUAGCUACUAAAUCUCUCAAAGAUGGUGGAAUAUAGACCAAAAAUUGCGAACAUGGCUAUUUAAGCACUCUGCCCAGAUGACAUUUCCUUCUUCGCGAACGCGGUUAAAGCCUAGCGUUCGCGAAGCAUAAAAACUCAUUGACCGAAAAAAUCCUCGUACGUGAAGGAAAAGCUUCCCAGACCAUCGUGAACGCGACACACUAACACGAACGUGAAGCACAAACGACUAGGGUCCCCAGCUGCUCCAAUUAUUCUAUGUGAACACGGGACUAACAUCGCAUUCGCGAUGCACACUCAGCCUAACCCUUCGCGAAAGCGGGACCAACUUUACGAAUGCGAAGGUCAAAUAUCUUGCCUCACUUCACAUCCCUUUGCGAACGUAACAUCCCACAUCCAUUCACGAACGUAACAUCCCUUCGCGAAUGCCAAAACUUUGCAACAGAAACAACAGAAAAUCUGCAACUUUCAAAACAAGGAUUUGAUCCGUUUAACCACCUAAAACGUAUCCGAUGCCCUCGAAACCUCAACCAAACAUGCCAAAACAUCCCAUAACAUCAUUAAAACUUGUUCCUACCUUCACAACGCCGAAAAAACAUCAAAUCAUCAUCAGAUUCAAGCCUAAGAAAUUCAAAACUUCUAAAUUUUUCUAUCGAUCAAAAAGUCUAUCAAACCUAGUCUGAAUGACCUGAAAUUUUGCACACGUUAUAAAUGGUACAAUGGAUCUACUCCAACUUCUGGAACUCCAUUCCGACCCCUAUAUCAAAAUUUCCACUAUCAACCGAAAAAUAAAUUCCAAUUUCACCAAUUCAAGCCUAAAUCUACCCUGGACCACCAAAACACAUUUCGAUCACGCUCCUAAGUCCCAGAUGACCUUCUGAAGCUAUUCGAAUCAUAAAAACCAAAUUCUUGGAUUGUUUACUCACAAGUCAACUUCCGGUUGACUUUUCCAACUAAAUGGCUAACUUAAGAGACUAAGUGUCUCGUUUCUCUAAGAACCCACUCCGUGCCCAAACUAACCAACACAAUAUGAUAAAAUAAAGUUGAACAACAGGUAAGGAAGCAGAAAUGGGGGAAAUGGAGCAGUAAUUCAUGACGGCCGGUUUGUUAAAUCCUCCCCCUCUUAAACAAAUGUUUGACCUCGAAUGGGUCAAAAAAACAUACUUGAAGUCUCAAUAAUAAGGAUAUCUGCUCCGCUCGAUAUCCCAGGUAGCCUCCUCCAUAGGUCGGCCUCUCCAUUGCACUUUCACUGAAGCUAUAUCUUUUGAUCUCAACUUUCGAACAUGAUGCUCCAAAAUAGCCACUGACUUCACAUCAUAAGUCAAAUCAUCAUCUAACUGAACCGUACCGAAAUCCAAAACAUGAGACGGAUCGCCAAUAUACUUCUAGAGCAUAGAAACAUGAAAUAUCGGAUGCACACUCGAUAAUAUGGGUGGCAAAGAAUCUUAUAAGCCACUUCCCAAUCCUCCAAGGCAUCUCAAAAGGCCCAAUGAACCGAGGGCUCAUUUACCCUUCUUCUCAAAUAUCAUAACUCCCUUCAUGAGUGAAACCUUCAAUAGAACCUUCUUACCAAAGAAGUAGGACACAUUAUGAACCUUUCUGUCAGCAAAACUCUUUUAUGUUGACUGCGCCAUACGAAGCCGCUCCUGAUUCACCUUCGCCUUGUCUAAAGCAUCAUGCACCAAGUGUGUCUCCAAAAGCCUAGCCUCAUCCGACUCAAACCAACCGACUGGACAUCUAUAUCAUUUCCCAUAUAAAGCCUUAUAUGGAGCCAUAUGAAUAUUUGACUGCUAACUGUUGUUAUAAGCAAACUCUGCGAGCGGUAGAAAUUGAUACUAUGACCCUCCAAAAUCAAUGACACAAGCGCACAACAUGUCCUCCAAUAUCUGAACAGUGCGCGGGAACUGCCCGUCCGUUUGAGGGUGAAAAGUUGUGCUUAACUCAAUCUGGGUACCUAACUGUCUCUGCACGGCUCUUCAAAACUGCAAAGUAACUAAGUACCUCUAUGUGAAUUGAUGGAAAUCGGGACAUCAUGCAAACGAAAAAUCUCCCGGAUAUAGAUCUCUACCAAUCAUUCUGAAAAAUAGGUAGUACACACAGGAAUGAAGUGUGCGGACUUAGUCAGCUGAUCCUCAAUCACCCAAAUAUCAUCGAACUUCUUCAAAGUCUGUGGGUGCACAACUGCAAAGUCCAUGGUGAUCGGGUCCCACUUCCACUCUAGAAUAUCCAUCUCCUAAAGCAAGCCACCCAGUAUCUGAUGCUCAUAUUUCACCUGCAGACAAUUGAGGCAACGAGUUACAUAUCCAUUAUGUCCUUCUUCAUUCUGCUCCACCAAUAAUGUUGUCUCAGAUCUUGAUAUAUCUUCGUGGCACCUAGAUGGAUGGAAUACGGCGAGCUAUGGGCCUCUUCUAGAAUCAACAUCCGAAGAACAUCUGCAUUGGGAAUGCAUAUCCGGCCCUACAUCCUCAAUACCCCAUCAUCACCAAUAGUCACAUCUCUGGCAUCGUCAUGCUAAACUAUGUCCUUAUGGACAGGAAAAUGAGGAUCAUCAUACUGGCGCUCUCUGAUGCAAUCAAAUAAGGAAGACCGAGAAAUCACGCAAGCCAACACCCAACUGGGCUCCAAAAUAUCCAAUCUCAUGAAUCGUUUGGCCAAGGCAUGAACAUCAACUGCAAGAGGUCUCUCCCCAACAGAAAUAUAUGCCAAACUCCCCAUACUCAUUGCCUUCCUACUCAAAGCAUCAGCCAGUAUGUUGGCCUUCCCAAGAUGGUACAAGAUAGUAAUAUCAUAGUCCUUUAGUAGCUCUAGCUAUAUAUGCUGCCUCAAAUUGAGAUCCUUCUGCUUGAACAAGUGUCGGAGGCUACAAUGAUCAGUAAACACCUCACAAGAUACGCCAUAAAGAUGAUGCCUCCAAAUCUUUAAUGCGUGAACAAUGGCAGCCACUCCAAAUCAUGAACGGAGUAGUUCUUCUCAUGGGGCUUCAAUUAUGAGAAGCAUAAGAAAUUACUCUACCCUCCUACAUCAACACACAUGCAAUGCCCACUCAGGAAGAAUCAUAAUACUCUGUAUAUGAACCUGAAGUUGAUGGCACAACUAAUACUGGAGUUGUGGUCAAGGCAAUCUUGAGCUUCUGAAAGCUUUCCUCUUAUUCAUCUGACCACCUGAAUGGAGCACCCUUUUGAGUCAAUUUGGUCAAGGGUAAUUAUAUAGAUGAAAAUCACUGAACGAAUGAAGGUAAUAACCCAAAAUUCCCAGAAAGCCGCGAAUCUCUGUGGCUGAGGACGAGUCUGGGCCAACUUUAAACCGUCUCUAUCUUCUUCGAAUCUACCUUAAUACCCUCACUGGACACUAUGUGCCCCAUGAAAGCCACUGAACUGAGCCAAAACUUACACUUGGAGAACUCUGUAUAAAACUUCUCCACCCUCAACCUGUACUACACAACUCUCAAGUGCUCCGCGUGCUCCUCCUGACUACGCGAGCAUACCAGAAUAUCAUUAAUGAAAACAAUCAGGAACUAGUCGAGAUAAGGCCGAAACACACUGUUCAUCAAAUGCAUAAACGUUGCUGGGGCAUUGGUCAGCCCAAAAUACAUUACAGGAACUCAUAAUGACCAUAUCAGAUCCUGAGAGCUGUCCUAAGAAUAUCUGAGUCCCUGAUCUUCAACUGGUGAUACUCUGAACGAAGAUCAAUCUUGGAGAACACUCUCGCUCCAUGAAGCUGGUCAAAUAAAUCAUCAAUACAAGGAAAAGGAUACUUGUUAUUGUUUGUAACUUUGUUCUAUUGCCUGUAAUCAAUGGACAUCAUCAUCUUGCUAUCCUUCUUCUUCACAAAUAGAACAGGCGCACCCCAAAGCGACACACUAGACUGAAUAAACCCCUUAUCAAGUAGCUCUUCAAGCUACUCCUUCAAACUCAUUCAACUCCACUGGUGCCAUACGAUACGAUGGAAUAGAAAUGGGCUGAGUGCCCGGCACAAGAUCAAUACCAAAUCAAUAUCCAUCUUCGGUGGCAUGCCCGCCAGGUCUAUAGGAAACACACCGGGAAAAUCCCUUGCUACAGGAACAUAAUCAAUACUAGGAGUGUCUGCACCGACAUCCCUCACAAAGGCUAAGUAUGAAAGACAACCUUUCCCAACCAUUCGCUGGGCCUUUAAAAGAAAAAUCACCGCACCGGGAAAAAUUAGCCGAACUUUGCCACUCAAUCCUUGGCACACCCGGCAUAGCCAACGUCACUAUCUUAGCAUGACAAAGUUUGUUAUGCCCCAACCUUGGGAGCCGCUCGCUGCUCAAUUGAGUGACCCUAACUGAGCAAGCCUUACCAAACACUACCUAACCAACUCAAUACGAAUAAGGGGCCCAUGCUCUCAUUUAUUCAUCAAAGGAAGAUAGUAUAUUCAACAUUUUUAGUUCAUUUUAGAUCACAACAUUAAACCGUAUAAAAGUUAGUUUCCAAGGUUCCCAUAUAUUUACAACUCAUAGGCAUAAGAUUAGAAUUACAACAUAGUUCGCACACCCAUCCGACAUCCACACAUGAACAACAUAUAUGUCUACGGAGCCUCUAAAGAUACAAAAGAUAAAUGUGACAACGCCAGCAAUAAGGCCUCGGCUAUACCUCAAAAGGGAAAGACCAAAAUAAAAGAGAUGUGCAAUUUUUUCCCUUGAAAGAGCAGGGGGCUCACCAAGAUCUUUGAGAAGAAAGGUGCUCCACUACACACGAUCGGCACUAUCCACUGUGUAGCCACCUACAUUCAUUUAAAAAAUGUAGCGGCCCCGCCAAAAAGGAAGAUAAAACUAUAAAAUAGUACUAGUACAUAUAACUAAACGCCAAAAUUCACAAAUAAAUUUCCUUGAGAUCAUGAUACAUUUUCGUAGAACCGGGGUGCACGGAAUACCUGGAUGUGUGAGCUUCUGCCAUAAUCCUUUCCCAAAGACCGUCAAUAUCAGGAACACAGGCGGUCUUGGUAAUGUAGGGUACCAUCACCCAUGACGAGGGAAAACGUUGUGGUCUUGUGUUUGUGAAUCCCCUCUUUCAAUUUUUCUAACAAUAGAUCAUUGAAUUGUUUUUCCUUCACCUCUACUAUAAGCGGUGAUUCAGCUCUAUUUUGUAUAACUACCGCUCUUUCAUUAGAGUUCGCAAGGUAAACUCCAAAACUACCCAACUGGUAGACCUCCCUGGCUAACGGCCUUUGAUAUGCCCCAAAAUGAGCCAAACUUCCCAUAGAUUUUGACUAAGUGCAUUUGCCACGACAUUAGUCAUUCCCGGGUGAUAGAGAAUAUCAAUGUCAUAGUCCUUGAGUAACUAUAGCAAUCGUUUUGCCUCAGAUUAAACUCUUUUUGCUUGAAAAUAUAUUGAAGGCUCUUAUUGUCCAUAAAUACAUGCACAUGAACGCCAUACAAAUAAUGCCGCCAAAUCUUCCGCGCAAACACCACCGAUGCCAGCUCUAAGUCAUGGGUUAGAUAGUUAUUCUCAUAAUUCUUGAGUUGCCUAGAAGCAUAGGCUAUAACCUUGCCAUGUUGCAUCAACACACACCCGAGCUCGAUUCUCUAAGCAUCGCAAUACACCACAAAUCCCUUUGUACCCUUUAGAAGGGCUAAUACCAGUGAUGUUGUCAAUCUAGACUUCAAUUCUUAUAAACUCUUUUCACAAGCAUCGAACCAUUGGAAUUUAACUACCUUCUGCGUCAACUUAGUCAAUGGAGAGGAAAGAGUAGAAAACCCUUCCAUAUGUCUCCUGUAGUACGCUGGCAAGCCUAAGAAACCGCAAAUCUCCGAUGGAGUGGUAGGCCUAGGCCAAUUCUUCACUGCUGCAAUCUUUUGAGGAUCAACCAUAAUUCCUUCCCUGGAGACGACAUGGCCCAAGAGCGCUACAGAUUUAUGCCAAAAUUAACAUUUCGAAAAUUUUGCAUAUAACUGAUGUUGAUGAAGAGUCUACAAAACUGCCCUAAUAUGGACAGCAUGGUCCUCCCGACUUCGGGAAUAUACCAGAAUGUCAUCAAUGAACACUAUCACAAAUGAGUCAAGAAAUGGCUUGAAGACUCGAUUCAUAAGAUCCAUGAAAGCUGUCCGCGCAUUUGUUAGCUCAAAAGACAUCACCAUGAAUUCAAAGUGCCCAUACCCAGUACUGAAGGCUGUUUUUGGAAUAUCCUGCUCCCUUAUCUUCAACUGGUGAUACCUGGACCACAAUUCAAUUUUUGAGAAACACGUAGCACUUUGCAAUUGAUCAAACAAGUCAUCUCUUCUUGGCAACGGAUAUUUGUUUUUGAUUGUGACUUUGUAGAGUUGCCGGUAGUCAAUACACAUCCACAGCGAUCCAUGUUUCUUUUAGACAAACAGGACUGGUAUGCCCCAUGGCGACACACUCGGCCAGAUAAAACCUUUUUCUAGAAAAUCCUUCAAUUGUCCCUUUAGCUCUUUCAAUUCGGGCGGUGCCAUUCAAUAAAGUGGAAUUGAUAUAAGCAGUGUGCCUGGCAUCACAUCGGUCCCAAAAUCAAUCUCCCUGGCUGGUUCAAUCCCCGGGAGCUCAUCUGGAUAGACAUCCGGAAAUUCAUUCAAAACAGGUACAGACUCAAGGCUAAGCGCCUCGACAUUGGUGUCAUUAACCCAAACUAGAUGAUAGAUACACCCCGUCUUGAUCAUCUUCGGGGACUUAAGGUAGGAAAUAAACCAAACUCUAAGCAUUACAUUAUCUCCCUUCCAUUCAAUGACGGGCUCAUCAGGGAAUUCAAGCCUAAUAGUUCUAGCCCGACAGUCAAGUUUGGCAAAGCAUGAAUAAAGCCAAUCCAUCUCCAUUAUUACAUCAAAGUCAAAAAUCUCUAACUCAACAAGAUCGGUUGUGGUAUUCCUAUCUCACACCGUGACAACACACCCUCUAUUGACUCGAGCAGCCAAAUAGGACUCACCAACCGGAGUAGAUAUAGAGAAUGGUUCAUGAAGCUGUUCUGGUUGUAUCCCGAAUUCCAUUGCAACAAAUGGGGUAACAUAGGAUAAGGUGGAGCCGGGGUCAAUAAGUGCAUAAACAUCAUGAGAUUUGACAGUCAGAAUACCUGUAACAACAUCUAGAGAAUCCUCUGCAGUUUGGCGGCCAUUCAUAAUAUAGAAUCGACUGGAACCUCUUCAACUCUACGCACCACAACUAGAUACACCACGCAAUGUAGGUGCUAGGGUACCUCGAGCUAAAGAGGGGGCUGAUGAUAUAGCAACUGCUAGACUGGAGGGCUGAGUUGUGCCCCUACCUGCUCCCUGGCGAGACACACAGAAAUGCCUCUAAAUAUGGCCCCUCAUCCCACAUCUAUAGCAUAUGGGUAACUCAAUUUAGCAAAUCCUUAAGUGUAUCUUCCCGCACCUGGGGCACAGGGACCUCUGCUGCUACUGGAAACUUUCUCCUGACCGACCCGGCUGGAGGGAUCCCCUGUUGCCCUGACUGGGCCUGAAAUUACUCAACUGCUGGUUGCUGGGCCUUGAUGGUGGUGCACUGGCUGAAAACUAUGCAACAGACUGGGAAGACGCUGAUGAUCCUCCCUUGAAAGUUGAUCUUUCCCCAACUAGUGACUCUCCCAUGUUGCCCGUAGAACGAGCCUUGAUGUUUCCUUCUUUUUCCAUUCUGUUCUUCAACUUACGAUUCUCUGUAGCCUGAGCAAAUGCUACCAUCUUCUCGUAGUUCAUGUCAGAAUUCAAUGCUGUUGUAGAAGCCUUAUUAAUAGUUAAAUGAUUGAUACCCUGAACAAACCGACGCACUCUAGCCUCCAUGGUGGGCAACAUAUGAAUGGCAUACUUGGACAAGCGAGCUAACUCCAUGUAGUACUCCCACACACUCCUGAUAUCUUGCCUCAGAUUUCAAACUCUGCUACCUGGGCUACCCUUGUCUCAGCAGGCAGGAAAUGAUCAAUGAAAGCAUCAACAAACUCGCUCCACCUCACCGGGGGGAACCCCUCCUCUCGAGAAUCCUCCCACAACUCAAACCGUGAAUAAGCUACCCCUUUCAAAUUGUAGGUAGCCAACUCUACUCCCUCUGUCUCAUUCACACGUAUCACUCCGAGGGUCUUGUGUAUCUCAUCAAUAAAAUCCUGAGGUGCUUCUUCUACAUUGGCACCCGUAAACACUUGAGGGUCUAACUGAAGAAAUUUGUUCACCCUGGAACUAGUAGAAUCCCCUUGCUGGCUGGAUGAAUUAGGCGCAUCAUUUGACCUCUGGGCCUGAGAGGCCACUAGCUGGGUCAAUAUCUGAAUAUCCCCCCUAAGAUCCCCAUCAAAAGUACCAGAACCAGAAGCUGGGGCUGGAGGCGGGACAUAUGUAUCAAUGGGAGGGAUAAUGGUAUCCUCUUUGGGUGUAGGAGCUAGGGUGGUCUGUUCUGGAAUAGAACGAUCCAACAGAGUAAUAGAAGGGCGACUACCCUCACCCGCAACAUCAAGCAACGAAUCACCAGCCACUCCUAGGGUGGCAUUGACGUCUUGUCCAAUUCACGCUUUCUUCUUCGGUGCCAUUUACUAAAAAUUAGAACAAUGCCUUGAUUAGAGAGGGAAUAGUUUCACCUCACGAUCCAGAAUAUCUAAGAAGGGUGUUAUUCCUAAAUGCCCAAGUAGCCUCCAAUUUAUAAAUAUGGUCAUCUACACACCGAUAAGAAGGUAUAUACUAGACACGGCUCUGAGACAUCCUAGGACACUUUAUAACCAUAGGCUCCGAUACAAGGUUUUCACGCCCCAACCUCGGGAGGAGCGACCGGCGCUCAAUCGAGUGACCCCAACUGAGCAAGCCUUACCAAACACUACCUACCCAACUCAAUACGAAUAAGGAGACCAUUCUCUCAUUUAUUCAACAAAGGAAGAUAGUGUAUUCAACAUUUUUAGUUCAUUUUAGAUCACAACAUUAAACCGUAGAGAAGUUAGUUUCCAAGGUUCCCAUAGAUUUACAUCUCAUAGGCAACAUAAGUUUAGAAUUACAACAUAGUUCGCACACCCAUCCGACACCUACACAUGACCCACAUAUAUGUCUAUGGAGCCUCUAAGGAUAUACAAGAUAAAUGUCACAAUGCCGGAAACAAGGCCCUGGCUAUACCUCAAAAGUGUAAGUCCAAAAUACUAGAGAUGUGAAAUGUUUCCCCUUGAAGGAGAAAGGGGCUCACAAAGAUAUUUGAGAAGAAAGGUUCUCCACUACACACGAUCGACACUAUCCGCUAUGGAGCCACCUACAUUCAGUUAAAAAAAAUGUAGCGCCCCGGAAAAAGGACGUUAGUACCAUGGAAUAGUACUAGUAUGUAUAACUAAACACCAUUUUACUAGAAAGAACUACCAAGAAAUGACAAGUGAAUCACAUGAGUAAAUCAAAUAUGCAAAUCACAUAAUCUUUCAUAUAAUUUCUAUAACUUAUUUUGGGGCAUUACUUUCAUACGUUCAUCAUUGUUCUCAAUACCAAAACUAUCUUGAGCGGAGUCCGAUCACGACCCGACCGGAUAUGUUGCCUUAUUGGAGGCAUAUAUCUCAAUCACUAUUUCAUUUUGCCUUACCCGAAAUUCAAUAUCAGCACAUUACCACCAUAUGUGCGGCAUGGUGUCCGAUCACAGCCCGAUCGGCUAGGCCGCCUUACCUCGAUGUGGUUUCUUUCUCAUUAAUCAUCUCACUUGAAUCAUUAUCUAUCAUGUAUCAAAUCAAUUCAUGGGCACUUUGGGCCACACUUAUCACAUCAUUUUCCAUUUUGGGUAUUCACCUUGCAAGUUGUGAUCACAUGCAUAUACGAAAGUAAUUCAAGUUUCAAGCACAUGUAUGUGUUAACAUAGUUAACAUGAAAAUUCUCAGUUUUGAUCUUUGGCUUAUAGUCUAAGCAUUUCAACACAUGAUUGUAUACUUUAUACUUUUUUAAAUAUCAAGAAUAGUACAUUACUUACAUUAAGGCACAUCCUUCAUGUAUACAUGUAUAUAAUUGCAAAUCAAUCAACGUGAAACAAUAAUCAGUAAACCAACCAAUUCAAAUUUUACCACACCUUCGCAAAUGCCAACGGAGCUCAAUUUCAUAUAAAAGGGGAUAUUAGCCAUACACACCUCAAUAUAGCUUUCCUCGCUCUUACAAAAUUCGUAACUCUUAGCACUUUGAUCUAUUGUAUAAGAAUUAAAAAUUGAAUCAAGAAUUAGAGACGUGGUUGAGAUUCUAGCUUGGUUUGAGCAUUUUAGAAAACACUAGAGGUGCACUGUGAUCUUAGGCCUUUUUGAGAGAAAUUUCUGUCAUUCUAUACCCCAAAUUGCCCUCUUUUUGGUCUACCACUUUCCAAUAUUCUACGGUGUGAUAUGCGUGCAAGAGAUUCAUUUUUUAUACCCAUGAAUUACUUCACUAAUGACCCCUUGUGGCUGAGUGUAGAAACAAGAGCUGAGGUGAAGAAGUCUUACCUCUUGGGAAGAAGAUUUAGGUGCCUUCAAUUGAUUACCUUCAAUGUUCUAACAAGAAUUUGUGAAUCAAUAAUGAUAGAAGUACUUCCCGUCUCUAAAGUCCUCUCUCUCUCUUCAAAUACAUCAUAAAAUAUUCUUAAAAUAAGCUACUAUACCGAGUAUAUCAAUAGGGGGUCGGGUUUAAAAUUUAGAAAAUUGGAGCUCCGAGUCGGAUAUGCGACCGCAUUUUCGAUCACAAAGUCAACAUGCAGCCCGCAGAAUGGACUGUAAAAUACUCCCAAAAGAACUGGACAUAUUGACUGAGUUUGUGGCAUAUUUGCAGACCACAUUCACGCUCUGCGGCCGCAAAGUGCACCGCAGAACUGACCUUCACAAAAUCCCAAGGAAAUGAUGCAACGAUUAUGCGGUCCAGAUAUAGAUUAUGUGAUCACAUAUUUGUCCACAUACUUGAACUUAAAUGACCAACACACUGACUUACUUUGCGGUAGAUUUGCAGUCCGCAUACCUGUUAUGCGACCGCAUUCUUGAUCGUAUUUUUGCACUUUUAUGGAAAACAUUAUUUCUUGACUUUUUAAUGCACUGUUCAAUCCAAAGGGUCUGAGCCGCGGCGUAUGAAUUUCUAACGCAUGCUCCUAACUUGGCACCACGGGAUUUGGUUUUGAGUGGAAAUUUUCACGGGGCUUAACACAAUCCAAUAUAGCCUGACACAGAGAAAGCCAAUCCAUGCCUAAUAUCAAAUCAAAGUCCACCAUACAAAGUAAUAAAAGGUCCACUCGGGUCUCCAGACCCCCACUAGUCAUCACACACGACCGGUACACACGGUCCACAAUGAUAGUAUCGCCAACCGGAGUAGAUACAUGAACAGAUGAAACAAGAGACUCACAUGGCAUAUCCAAGUAACGAGCAAAAUUUGAUGACACAUAUGAAAAAGCGGAACCAGGAUCAAAUUACAAAGAGGCAUCUCUAUGGAAAACUGAGACAAUACAUGUAAUCACAACAUCCGAAGCAAUAUCAUCAAGUCUAGCUAGGAGUGCAUAGAAACGGUCCUGACCACCACCCAAUCGACCUCCCCCUCUGGGGCGACACCUAGGUGAUCCUCCUCCGCCCCUAGCUAGGUGGGUGGGUGGUAAAGUAACUGGUGCUGAAGUCUAUGGCUGAAUCCUCUGCUGAGAUGAACCGCCAAGACAAUGAGGAUACUGCCUCCACAUGUGACCCAACUCUCCACAGUCAUAACAACUCCCUAGUGCUGGAGACGGGGACUAAAGGGAACCCCUAGCACCCGGAUGACUACUAAAUGAACCUGGCAUAGAAGAGCCAUGAGCUGAUGGAGCACAGGAUGAACUCUAGGCUGGAAGGGAACUGAGUGAUGAAUGGCCCUGAUGAGAAUUGUGAGUACCAUGACCAGAUGAUGCCCUACAAUAACUUGGGUGAGCUGACUGAGCAUGCCUAAAUGGAUGGCCUCUGUCGUUCUGAAACUGACCCCCAUGAGGAGUACCACUAAAUCCACCCUAACCGCGAGGCCUCUUAUCCUCCCUCUCAAUCCUCUCCUAAACACGAACCAUCUCAAUCAGUCGAGCUAUAUCAACAACCUCAUCAAAAGUAGCACCAGAUACUCUCUCUGGUCAUAAGCAACCGAAGCUAAAAAACGAGGCCAUCUAUAAACCUCAUGAUCCUCUCUCGUUCCGUGGGAACCGUACAGAGCGCAUGACGAGCCAACUCACAAAACCACAUAUCAUGUUGCGUAACAGAUCGAUCACCCUGUCAAAGCUACUUCAACUGCCUGUGCAACUCCUCUCGACUAGACUCAAGUAGAAACUUCUCUAGAAAGAGAACGGAGAACUACUCUCAAGGAAGGGGCGUUGCGUUAACUAGCCUACGCCUCUCGUAAGCCUGCUCAGGUGUGCGAGCAGCGGGAGUUUCAGGGCCUCCCCAGGACUGAGAAGUAGCUGCAAUAGUGGUAAUUGAGACCGCCUGAGCUAGGCUAGUGCACACUAAUAGAAUCUAGGCCAAGGCCUCCUGAAGGCCUAGAAUCACAAUAGGCACAGUCGGUGCCUGAGCUGGUGCUGCUGGAGCAUUUGCAAUCGGGACCUUAUCAUGAACUGGGGCGGCUGGUGGACCUGCAGGAGUUGCCCUAGCCAUUGUGCAAGAUACACCCUUGCCCCUACCACGGCCUUGACCACGUCCUCGGUCUCUAGUGGCCCCCGCUGGUGGUAAUGGUGAUCAUCCAUCCUAACCGGUAGCAUGUGUCCUUACCAUCUCUGAGAGAAUGGAAUAACAAAAGUUUAGUACUAGAAUAAACGGAUUCAUACGACAAAAAAUCAAGAAUAUAAAGUUUUUUUCUAAAAGGUUCUGCAGCCUCCCGAGGAUAAAUACAGACAUCUCCGUAUAGAUCUACGAGACUCUACUAAACCUUCUCAUGACUCGUGAGUCCUAUAUAACAUAGACUCUAAUACCAACUUGUCACGACCCUAAAACUAACCCUAACCGUGAUAGCACCUAUUGUGAAACUAGGCCAACCAACACAAACCCCAACACCAACAAGAAAUGCAUAAUAAGUCAUUUAAAGCCAUUAAUUAGGAAAAAUCCCAUAGUAUAAGUAAAAUGAAUAGUGCGAAAACACAACACAACCCGACAUUGGGCUGUCACCAGUCAAGAGCAAUUACAACUCAUCUAGGAAUAUGAAAAGACAACAUAGUCUGAAACAAAGCUAAUACAAAGCUGAAUAUGAUAGGAAGGAGAAACACUGGUUUUUGUGAACGCCAAAUAGCUACCUAGUCAACUCCGGAGACCUGAUGGGAAGCUGAUGAACACUCGCUAUCACGACCCGAGACUCCUGGAUCUGCACAUAGGGUGCAAAGACUAUUGUGAGUAUGCUAACUCAGUAAGUAAUAAAAGUUAAGUUAAUCGAGAAGUAAAAAAAUAUGUAAACCAUAGCAUAACGUUGGAGCAGUAUAGUAUAAGUCCAAAACAAGGUAGUAAAACAAUAAAACUCGUAAAAACAUCUUAGUUCAGUAAAACCUUUUUAAAACAUCUUUCAAUUGUUUCAAAAGAAUGAUGAAAAUGGUGAGAAAAAGGAUAGAAAUGUAAACAUCCCCUCAGGCAAAACAUGUAACACAACCACCCCUCAGGCAAAAUAUCCACUGAACUAGCCCCUCGAGCUAACUCACAAUAACUUGUAUUAGCCUCUCGGGCAAUAACAUGAACCAACAAUAGCCCCUCAGGCAAUAUCACAUCUCACACUAGGUACACACGCUCACUGGGGGUGUUCAGACUCCGAAUGGGCUCCUACAACGCAAGCUCUAUCAAAAGGCAUCUCGUCGCAUGAUGCCUUUGCCUCUCACGGCCUCUAGAUGCUCCAAACCUAACCAAACAUUACCAUACCAUCAAAUUAUGCUAAGGGAACAAAGCCCAAUUGAAAAUAACCAAUUUAUAUAAAAAAAAACCCAAAAUUGGCAAAACCCGACCCCCGUGCCCACGUCUCGGUUUUCGAUAAAAAGUACAAAACUGGAAUCCUUAGACUUUCACGAGUUCAUACAUAUCAAAUAUAUCAAAAUUCGACAAAUAAUGGCCCCUUAAAUCCUUAAAUCAGGCUCUCCAAUUUCAAGCCCUAACUCUCCAAUUUUAGGUUUUAAAUUCCAUAAAUUGCGUGUCUAAUUAGGUAGAAAUCACAAUAGGAUCGAGUAUUGAGUAAAAAAAUCUUACCUCCAAGUAUUUCCCUUUGAUUCCUUCUUCAAUCCUUCUUAAAAAUCUCCAAAAUCGCUCAAAAAUAGUGCGAUAGACCAAAAAUCGCGAACAUGGCUAUUUAAACAUUCUUCCCAAACCCAAAACCCACGCUCAAACGCUCUCUCCUCUCUCUACUUUCUCUCUCUAGAGAUCUCAUGUACGCCUAGGACAGCCAUGGCUGCUGCGAGAUCUCCCCAACCUUUGGUGGCUGUGGGAGAGAUAAUUCAAAACAAUCAAGAAGCAAUUCCUAAUCAUAAUACAAAGCAGUCUUAUACAGUAGUUGUCAAAACAAGCUGCCGCAAAAUCGACAAAAUUGGAAUUAUGUCCUGUUAAGUUUUUACAUGGAGAACCUACUGUGGAAUUCACCAUUGAAGAGGCAAAUGCAUUCACCAUGGAAGAAAGAUUACAUCAAGCUAUAAUUCUCAAAUUUUCGUAUGUGAAACCAGAUAUCCAGGAAUUACGACAACUAAUUCCAAAAUAGUUUGACGUCAAAGGUUAUUGCAGUGGAUAGCUUGAAUAUCGACACAUCAUGGUAAGGUUUAAUCUCUUUGAAUAUGUCGUUCAAGUUCUGUCAAGGUCUACUGGUUAUGUUAAGGAAAAAGGAGAUGAAUUCUUCUUUAGAUCAUUCCUAUGGACGAUGGGAUUUAAUCUACGAGAAGAAACCUCAAGGGCAGUCAUUUGGAUUUCCAUGCCUGAUCUUCCUGUAAAUUUAUUUGCAAAGAAAUCCUUAAUGUCCAUAGCCGCAACAGUAGGUAAGCCUUUAGCUGUGGACAAAGAGACACAAGACGAACGCGAUCAAGUACGGCUAGGGUUAACGUGUUGCUAGACCUACUGGAUAAACAUCCUAAGAAAGUUAGGAUUCAUAUUGUGGAUAAAACUUCUGGGAAAAUAGUGGAACAUUAUCAGAAGAUUGUGUAUGAUAAUCUUCCAAAAUAUUGUUCAUGUUGUGAACAUCGAAGGCAUAAUGAAAGAUCAUGUCGUUGGAGGCUUGAGAAUAGUAAGGAGGAUAUGUUUGAGAGGGACGAAGUAGAGGAUCUGGGCAGUGUUGAGAAAUUACAGGGGGGUCUAGGGAAUUUCUUAAUUCAAAGAGGGUUGUACAACUAAUUGCUGAAGCAGAACAACAACGAUCUGUAUAGGGCAGGUAGUGCAAACAGCAGGAGGAAAACAAAUGGCUAAUGUGAACAAUUAUAGAAUGGUGAAUCGUACGGAAGUUAUUGCUUGUAUAGUACAAAACCAAUCAGCUGGGAAGGUCAAUGAUGUGAAUAAGGCAGGAGAAACUCAAGGUGAAAUUGUAAGUAGUGUUGAUGGUGCAGCAGAUCAUAUAGCAGUAGCACAUCGAGCCAAUAAUGGUAUUUCUGUAGGUGAUGCCUCGGUGAUAGAUAAGGGUCCUCCUUUACCUACUCGUGAUGUUCCUACAAGAACAGCCUUAGCAAGGAUAGCUAAUGUUGUGAAUCCAAUAGUAGCAGCUUAUGAUGUUUUGGCUCUUAAUAAUAUAGUAUCUGGUGUUGUAACUGAUACAGGAUCAAAUGCUAUUAAUGUCCAAGCUGAUGUUAAUUCACAACAUAAUAAUGUAAUGGAAGCUAUAACAGGGGCAUUACAAGAUGAUACGAAUCAUGCUACAGAUUGUGCAAAACAGGUAGAUAAGACUGCUAGAGAUGUACUUUCUGUGGGAAAGGAUAAGAAAGAUGUGGGAAUGUUUCUUCAGGAGGAAAGGAUGGUAUUGAGGCUAAACUCGCUCAAUCACCAGCUGGAGGUGAAAAACAAAACCAUGCUACUACUGCUAAUUCCCAGAUUUCAAGAAAUCGAAAACUGGUCAAAAGGGCAUAAUUUUGGAGACUGGAACUGGGGAUAGAAUAAAUGAUGGAAGGAGUAAUAAUACGAGUAAAAAGGGUGAAGGGUGGAACUUGUUAACAUCAAGGAAAUCACCUACAAAGAGGGUGGUAUCACCAAAAAAACAGAAAAUAGUUUCUCGACGAAAUGCCAAUAGCAUAUUUCCAAUACAAACGAUUUUGAGUCUCUCGCAUCUGAUAAAGAUGGUGACCUGAUACUACACCUUCAAAUGAGGGAAUGAUGGUCAAGCAAAAAUAAGUCCACUCCCUAGCAGUGGAAAAGAAGCACAAGACCGUGAGAAUUUGGCUAUGGAUUUGGAUAUUCGACAGUAGGCUUCUAAGAAAAAUGGUGUGGUGGAGCUAAUGGGAAAGGCACACAGAUCUAAUGUUCCUACAAUUGCAUUUUUCCAGCCCUCACGUCGAACAAAUAAUCAAAGAGGCCCAGAAUGCAAUGAUGAUGCAUAUAAAUAUGGUUAAACAACCAAUGGUCACGUUGAACACCUUAGUUUAUGAAGUUCCAUCAUAGUCUUUGGAGUCCUGUGGUGAAUUUGGAGGUGAGCUGAUGUUGUCAUCUGGAAAUAACAAUAAAGUUAUUAAGGCAAAUAUUAUGGGGAUGGCAAUCAAACCUAAGCUAUAGGCAGACCAACGCGAAUAUGAUGAUGAGGAAGAUUAUGGUGAUGCGUAUGUUGGGAAUUCGAGUGAGGAUGAAUAUGAUAUAAGUUGGAUCACCAUCUUUAACAAAAAUUGGCAGCUCUACUAUGAUAAAAUCCAGCAGUAAACUUAAUGCAAAAGCACCAGUUUUUGUGCCUAAAUCUGGACCAAAUAGGCAUGGGCAACAGGAGCAUACUACAAACAUACAGCCUGUUAACUGUGUGGAGAAGCAAAAUGUAGUAGCACCAGCAGCAACUAAACAACAACAACAAAUUGCAAAGCUGUCAAAUGCUGCAAUAUAUGCUUCACAUGAUGAACAGUAGCAUCAAAAAAUAGAAGCAGCACUACCAAGUGCUAAUCAGCAAAAAGCAGCAGUUGGAAAUUUGGACAGUGCAGCAAUACUUUCCAAGAAAAUUGUUCCAGUUGAUACUACCAGCCAUAAUGCAGUAACACAUUCCUCUACUCUGCUGCAGCAGCAAACUAAUCAAAACGCUUAAGCUGUGAUUCAUCUUGAUGAUCGAAAAGAAACAGUAACAAUAAAGGAUGGACAGCAGCAAAUUGUGACAAUCAUUCCAGUUAUUUCAGUAGAGGAAAUGAAGCUUUUGGAUGAAAUGCUAAGUGCAAACCCAGUGAAUUCAUCAUAUAAUAUUGUUGGCAGCACUGCUCGUGCAAGUAGAAGUAGGAACAAAUUGCAAACUAAAGAAAAACCACAACACAAGGCAACAUUGGCUAAACCACAGGAGGGAAAAACUAUGGUGACACAAGAUUUUGAUCAAAACAUGCCAAAUCCGGUGAUUGUGAGCAGAGAUACAUAUGAAGAAGGUGAAGAAGAUGAUAUUUUAAAUCAAUGUCGGGCAGAGGCAACAAAAGAAGGUGAUUUAUCAUCAACGCAUAGUGUAAAAAGCAAGAAGUCUCGUACAAGGGAUAAAAGUUUGGACGGCAGGGUGAAUGAAGAUGCAAACGUAAGGCGACUUCAAAUGGGAGUUUCCAAAUAAAAACAAGCCAUCCAAACUACAUCUACGAAGUCCAAUCGUUCAAAGAAGAUAGCAUGAAGUUUGAAGACAUUUUAAAGAAGGUUGAAGAUGAAUACAAGCGGAUUCAAAUUGAAGAUUUCAGAACACUAGAAAAGAGAGAACAUUACUGUUAUUUCUACAUAUUUUCAUUCUACCAUCAUAUUAGCAUAGUUCUAUGUAAUAUCAUCACAGAGUAUGUUAUAAACUCUAUGAUGAUCAUAGAAUAUCUAGUUCUAGCUAAUUCUUUAUUUUUACAUACAUGUUAGUAGGUGAGGCUUUUUCUACGCAUCAAUAGAAUUAGUAAGGUACGGUUUAGCCCAAUAGUGUCUGCCCACGUCUUAUGCCUUUGGGAAAUCGCCCAAUCGGCUAUGAGAUUAUAUGCCCUCGUGAGACUUUGCUGACAGCUACACCAUGAUUCAUCUACAUGAGGCUGCCAUAAAGACAAUGUGAGGCGCAGAGGAGUAAUUAUAUAGCCAACGCCUAGAGACAACACUAUAGGUGCUAUUGUCCCCCUUAUUUCUACUGUUCCUAUGUGAUUCUUUUUUCUUUUAUUAUUAAUAAAACCAGCCAUAGGCACCUGUUUAGUAGGAGUGUUCAUCGGGCGGAUUGGGCGGCUUUUUACUCUUAACGGUUAUCGGCUUUUAAAUGUGUUCAUCCGUUAGUCACCCAAUAAGAUAUAGGGCGGAUUGGUAUCGGGUUAGCUCUUAUCGGGCGGUUACCGGGCGGUUUAUCGGUUUAAUACCUUAUGAGAGAAUUCCUAGUCUUCCAAACUUGCGAAAUCCUAAUUUGAGGUUUUACACAUGUAAAAGUUAAACACAUUAGUUAUCCAUUGGUUAUCAAGUUGGUUAACCACUUUUUUAGUGGAUAAUAUGGUUCUUUAUCCACCCGUUUUUAAAUAGUUCAUUAUCCAACCCAUUUUUAAUGAAUAAUAUGAGUGGAUAAACGAUUUUCUUUUAACUAUUUUGCUACCUCUAGCAUCGGCAAUCCAGGAAAGGGCGGCAUUGGAGGUGUAUUUAGAUAGUGACAGUAAUUAGAUUCUGGACUACAACAUGACAGUGUCCCAUGCAACCAAUAUUUACAUGGAGGGCUUAUAUAGCACUCAUGCAUGGGCCAAGUCUAGCGCUGCAAAAAAAUGUCAUGCCAUUAGUAAUUGAAACAGACCGCAAUGAUUUAAUCAACAUGCUCACUUACAAUUAUUGCCUUUAUCAAACUUGAUAAAUGAUUGCAGAUGGAUGCUAUGUUAUAUUUAGUUCCAAGUUAGGGGUAAUGGGUAUAGACAAAAGUCACUACUUACUGUCUCACCUCACUCAGUCAGAACAAACGGUGGAGGUGGUUUGUUUUUCUAAUUUACUUUUGUUAUACACUUAUACUUAUUCAUUUUUAAGGUUUUUAGUUUUUACAUUUAAUAUAUAUAAUUAUGUAAGUAAAAAUAAAUUAUAUAUAUAUAUAUAUAUAUUUUUAUAUUCUUAACGGGUUAACGGAUUAUCCGUUAAGAAAAUUGAAUAAUUCAUCCCCAAACCGAUAAGCCGUUAAUAAAAAAAUUUCAAUCCGUUUUCCGUCCAUUAAGCCAUUAAGCUGUUAUCAGUAAGUCAUUAAGGUUCGAUUCGAUUCGAUUUUCGAUUUCGGAUUGAUUUUGAACACACCUACUUGUAAUAAUAGCAAUUCCUUUUAUUAUUAAAUUCUAUCUUCCAUAUAUCAUUACCAAGAGAAAAUUAAGUAGAAAAAGUUCUCGGUAAGUGUCUAUCCAUUAGUCAAUAGAGAAAUACUACUAAGUAGUGGAUCCAAUUUCAUAUAUGAAAAGAAAAAUUGAAACUUUAUGUAUAUCAUGUCAAAUUUUAGAUCUGAAGUUUUGGUGCGUGUUUAAAAUGUUCGAGUAAGCUUUUCAAAUCUAAUUUUUUAUGUGUAUUUGAAUAUUCAUCAUUGUUGGGCUUGAAGUUCAAUUUUAUUUUUAAAGAUUUCUUGUUUGAUUCAAAGUGUGUGCUAUUAAAUAUUGUUUCUAGUACUAUUUGAAAGUUCAUAUUGAAAUUUAAUAGCAUAUGGAGCUGAUUUGAGGUGAUUGAGAUAGAAUUUUUCAACUGAAAAUCGCAUAAGAACAUAGCUACCCAAUAGUAUACAGCUACGGUAUACAAUAUAAUGUAGGAGUGUAAUCUAGUGGAUUUGCUCGAAAACAAAAAUAAAAAAAUCAUUCUACCCAUAUCCUUCUUCGUGAACGCAGUCAAAGCCUUGAGUUCGCAAAGCACAAAACUCAUUGGCCAAAAAAAUCCUCUUACGCGAAUGCGACCUUCUUAACGUGAAGGCGACAUCCUUAAUGCGAACGCAAAGCUUCAGCUUCCUAGACCAUAAUGAAUGUGACACACCAAUGCAAACGCGAAGCACAGACGACCAAGGCCCCCAGCUGCUCAAAUUAUUUUAUGCGAAUGUGGGACCACAUUGUGUUUGCGAUGCACACUCGGCCUCACCCUUCGCGAAGGCAAAGGGAAAAUAUCCUGACUCACUUCACAUACCUUCGCGAACGCAUGAGACCUCUCAUAAACAUGAAGGACAAAACUCUGCAAUAGAAAGAACAAAAAAUCUGCAACGUUGAAAACAAGGAUUUGAUCCAUUUAACCACCCAAAACUCACCUGAGGCCCUCAGAACCUCAACGAAACAUUCCAAAACAUAUAUAAUAUAAUUCAAACUUGUUCCAACCUUCAGAACGCUCAAAACUACAUCAAAACAUCAAAAUAUUAUCAAAUUCAAGCCGAAGAAAUUCCAAAACUUCCAAAUUUCGCGUUAGAUCAAAGAGUCUAUCAAACCUUGUCCAAAUAACCUGAUAUUUUGCACACACAUCACAAAUGAUACAAAGGAUAUACUCCAACUUUUGAAAUUCUAUUUCGACCGCUAUAUCAAUAUCCACUAUCAACUGAAAAUUGCCAAAAGUUCAAUUUUUCCAAUUCAAGCGUAAUUCUGCCCCAGACCUCCAAAUCACAUUCUCAUCACUCUCCUAAGUCCCAAAUCACCUCUCGAAGCUUUCCAAAUCGUAAAAACUAAAUUUUGGGAUUGUUUACUCACAGGUCAACUUUUGAUUGACUUUUCCAACUAAAAGGCCAACAUAAGAGGCUAAGUGUCUCCUUUCUGAACAAAACCACUCUGAACACAAACUAACCAGCACAAUGUAAUGAAAUACAACUGAACAACAUGUAAGGAAGCAGAAAUGGGGAAAACAACGCGGUAAUUCAUGAAGCGAUCGGCCGAAUCGUUACAUCAAGUCAGCCUUCUUGAAUGGCUUUCUUCAAGAAGAAGUCUAUGUUGAACAACCAUUGAGCUUCGUGGUCAAAAACCUUGAAGAUAAAGUAUUGAAGUUGAACAAAGCUUUAUAUGGAUUGAAGCAAUCCAUACGAGCAUGGAAUCAUUGCAUCGAUAAAUAUUUUCAAGACAAUAGGUUUUCUCGUUGUCUCCGUGAAUAUUUUCUUUACCUAAAAGUUCAUAUUAAUGGAGAUAUCGUGUUUGUUUGUCUUUAUGGUGAUGAUCUUAUUUUCACGGGUAACAACCCAAGUUUGUUUGAAGCUUUUAAGAAAGAUAUGUCCUGCAAGUUCGAGAUGACAGUUGUAGGGCUCAUGCCAUACUACUUGGGCCUAGAAGUGAAGUAUAUGGAGGAUGUAAUUUUUAUCUCUCAAGAAACAUAUAAAAAGAGAUAUUGAAAAAGUUCAACAUGCUCGAUUACGACCCCGUGAACACACCGAUGGAGAGUUGGACACUAUUGUUCAAGUUUGAUGAUGGAGAAAAAGUGGAUUCCACAUUUUUAAAAGUCUUGAGGGAAGUUUGAGGUAUUUGACUUGUACUAGGCAAGAUAUACUCUUUGUGAUUGGAGUAGUAAGUCGCUUCAUGGAAGCUCCUACCUCAACUCAUUUGAAAGUCUCUAGAAGAAUUCUUCACUACCUAAAAUGUACGAUUUACUUUGGGCUAUUUUGCUCUUCUUGUAGUGAUUUCAACCUCAUGGGAUAUUGUGAUAGUGAUUAUGUAGGAGAUGUUGCUGAUAGAAAAAGCACAACUACUUUUGUGUUUUCUAGGGGGAUUCUGUUAUUUCUUGGAGUUCAAAGAAAUAAUAAAUUGUAACUUUCUCGAUUUGUGAAGCUCAAUAUAUAGCGGCAACAUCCUGUAUGUGUCAUGCUAUUUGGCUAAGAAGAUUGUUGAAGGAGCAAAAUUUACCACAAAUUAAAUCUACAGAGAUUUAUAUUGACAACAAAUCUGCAUAGUCACUUGCGAAUAAUCCAGUGUGUCAUGAUCGAAGCAAGAAUAUUAAUACGAGGUAACACUUAAUUAGAUAAUGCAUUGCCAAGAAGGAAGUCGAGCUCAAAUAUGUAAAGUCUCAUGAUCAAGUUGCUGAUACUUUUACGAAACCUCUCAAGUUGAGGAUUUUAAGAGAUUGAGAUCAAGACUCGGAAUGAAAAAGAAAAAUUAAAAUUAAGGGGGAGAUUUGUGGGACCUGCCUAUAAAAUAAAAGAUAAAAAACUGAUUGGAUAAAGAAGCGAAAAGUUAGGCGCCUACAAUUUCAAAUGCAAUUUGCAAAUUCAAUUUGCAAUUGCAAGUUGCCAAAGCCGGUUAUGAGUGGAUGGAAACAAUGACAACAUUUCCUGUAAAUAGCAGGCUCGUUUCUCAUUUGAAGUACACUAAAAAUCAGAGUGAACGCAAUAGGGCGCAGAGAGAGUAAUCCAUAAAUUGUAGUCUAUGAGAUAAAUUGAGAGUGCGUGUAGUAUCAUAGUGUUUUAUUUAAAAUAAUGAGUUAUAUUUAUUUUGAAGUUGUAGUAGUCUCUUGACACUAUCAAUUUGUAAUAUUAUAGUUUCCACGACCCGGAUUUCCCACCGCCGGGAUCGUGAUGGCGUAUAUUUUUGAAACCUAGACAAGCCGACAAAUACAAUUUCUCACAUUAAUUAUUAACCAAAAAAGAAUUAAAUAAUAAGCUAAAGCCAAACAGAGAUAAGGUGCAGAAGUGUAAUAACAGUUUAACAAUUCUAAUACAUGACUACCUCUAAUGAUCUAGGGUCACAAUGCACGAACUUCUAAGAAAUUCUACAAAUAUUGGUUUAAAAGAAAUACAUCUGUUCUCAAAAUAGAAAGAGACAGGAAAAAACUAAAAUAGAGUUAAGGGGGAUUCCGGGGUUUGCAAACACCGAUAGACCUACCUUGGAUCUCCCGUGGACUGAAGGAAGCAACUUCAACUCUACUCACGCAGUCUGGUACCAAAAUCUGCAUAGAAAGUGCAGAGUAAAAUAUCAGCACGACCAACACCAUGUACUAUGAAAUGUCGAGCCUAACCUCGGCGAAGUAGUGAUGAGGCUAGGACACGACAACAAUACAAACGUGCAGUUAAAUCAUAUACGAGAAAUAAUAAUAACAAAUACUUAACAGAUAAAGACGGGAAUGGGAGGCAUGCUAAAAGAAUAUCAAAUUCUGAAAGUAAUAAAGUAAAGAAGCAAGGUAAAUAUCAAACUUUGAACCAACAAAAAUAAUAACACAAUAACACAUACACGGCAUCAUCUUUCGUGCUUUUACUCUUUUCCUCACCAUAAAAAUCAAAAAAAAUGGCAUGACAUCAUCCUUUGUGCAUUAACUCUCUCAUAAUCAUGGAAAGGCAUCACCCUUCGUACAUUAACACUCACAGAAAUAUGGCAUCGCAUCACCCUUCGUGCAUUAACACUCACUGAAUAUGGAACAACAUCACCCUUCUUGCAUUAACACUCUCUCACAAUAUCAUGCAUGGCAUCACCCUUCGUGAUUUACACUCUUCCUAACCCAAACAGUUGGAACAAUAACAUCACGGUAAGGGAAUCAUCUAUAGCCAAUCUUGUUUCAAUAGUUAAAUUCACAAUGUAAGUCUCUACUUGAGUCAAUACUCAACAAUUACCUAAUAACAACAAAAUAUAACCAAACUUGUUCAACGUGAAGAGUAACUAGCUUAAACAUGAACAACACAUGAUAAGAGACACAAAAGUUAGAAGUAUAAGACUCAUUUGCAUGCUAUGACCAACAACAACGUAUCAAUACUCGUCACCACACCUAUACGUCGUACUCAACAACUAAACACAUAGCAAUAAGACAACAACGCAUAUUUUCUCAAGCUAAGGUUAGACCAAAAUCUUACCUCAAUUCCAUGGCUAAAAGUCAAGAUUUAAUUACCGCUUUACCUCUCGGUUCCACUUCCAAUCCGCUUAUAUCUAAUCAUAAUUAACUUAAUAACAUCAAUAAAUGCUAAAGAACUCAAUUCCCAUGUUGAACUAUAGAUUUUCGAAUAUUUUCCCCAAAAAGUCAAAAAUUGACUCUAGGGGCGCUCGGCCAAAACUUGAAGUACCAACAAAAACCCAAUUACCCAUUCACCUACGAGACGAAAUGCAAUUGGUUUUGAAAUCCGGCCUUAAUUUGAGGUUUGAAUCGCCAAAUUUCAAAAUUCCUAAAUUCCGCCAAAAAACACCCAAUUUCCCAUGAGAAAACUCUAGAUUCUAUGAUGAAAUCUUGUAAAAAAGAUGAAAUAGAUUGGAAGAAAUAAGUUAAGAAUAAUUCACCUAUGAUUUGGGGAAGAACUGGCUCUAAGAAAAUCGCCUCAUGGAGUUUAGGUUUUAUAAAUUUGAAGAAUGAAUGAUAAAUCCCAUCCAAGACACUUUUUACUCCGCUGCAGAUGUCACAAAUUCGACCAGAGCUUUGCAAAUGCGAAGCUCGCAAGUGUGAAAAGGCUAUCGCAAUUCCCAACCAUGUGAAGCUCGUAAUUGUGAAGUCUGAUCUCGCAAUUGCGAAACCUGAUCUCGCAAUUGUGAGAUCAGAGGCCUGCAACAGCUGAAGCAUACCAACAAUAUUUUUCCUAAGUCCAAAACACCUCAUGGCCUAUCUAAAUUUCACUCGAGCCCUCAGAGCUCAAAACCAAAUAUGCACACAAGUCUAAAAAUAUCAUAGGACUUGCUCGUACGAUCAAAUUGCGAAAAUCACAUCUUAAACAAUGAAUUUAACAUUAAACUCAUGAAAUUCACAAGAUAGUUCAAAAUUUCUAUUUUCUCUACCAAGAGUCCGAAUUUCAUCAAAUCUCUUCCGUUUUUACCAAAUUUCAUAUAUAUGGUCUAUAUAGAAAGACGAACCUAUACCGUGUCCGAAACCAAAAUAGUGGUCUGAUACCAAUGAGAUCACACACUAUUCCAUUUCCAAAAAUCCUUAUAUUUUCCAGCAAACAAUUUUCUUCAAAAAUUUAUUUCUCGGGCUAGGGACCCCGGAAUUUGAUUCCGGGCAUACGCCCAAGUCCCAUAUUUUAAUACGGACCCUAUGGGAGUGUCAAAAUAUGGGUCCGGGUUCGUUUACCAAAAAUUUUGAUCAAAGUCAACUUUAAUCAAUUUUAAAGGGAAAUUUUAAUAUUUUUCUUAAAAUUCACAUAAAGGCUAUCCGGAGAUGCGCCUGAAAUUUUCAAGGCCUCGGAACCCGCAUUCGGAUUCUAAAACAAAAGGUGACCCUUUGGUUCAUCAUAUUCUCCACCUCUAAAAUAAACUUUCAUCCUCGAAUGGACAUGCAAAAGUACCUGAGUCGGUGAAAAGAUGGGGAUAUCGGCUCAGCAUAUCGGUCCCGGACUUCCAGGUAGCUGCCUUGGCAGGCUGACCUCUCCACUAAACAAGAACUAAAGGAUAACUCUUCGAUCUCAACUAAUGAACUUGACGGUUUAGUUUAGCUGCCGGCUCCUCCUUAUAGGUCAAACGUCUACCAUGUGGGACAGAUCGUCGUGAUACUUCCGAAGCAUGGACACAUGAAACACUGGAUGCACAGAUGAUAAACCUGACGGCAAUGCAAGUCUGUAAGCCACCUAACCUACUUGUUCAAUGAUCUCAAAAGGCCCGAUGGACCUAGGGCUUAGCGGUCCCUUCUUCCCAAAUCGCAUCAUGCCCUUCAUGGGUGAUACAUGAGGCAACACUCUCUCUCCGACCAUGAAUGCCACAUCAUGAACCUUAUGGUCGGCAUAAAUCUUUUGCCUUGACUGAGCUGUACGAAGCCUAUCCUGAAUAAUCUUAAGCUUAUCCAAUGCAUCAUGUACUAAAUAUGUACCCAACAACCGAGCCUCUCGCAGCUCAAACCAUCCAACCGGCGACUGACAUCGUCUACCAUAUAAUGCCUUAUAAGGAGGCAUCUGGAUGCUCGACUGAUAAAUGUUGUUGUAGACAAAUUUCGUUUACAUCAAGAACUGAUCCCACGAACCUCCAAAGUCAAUAACACAUGCUCGGAUCAUAUCCUCACAAAUGUGAAUAGUACGCUGAGAUUGUCCGUCCGUUUGAGGAUGAAAUGUUGUGCUCAACUCAACCUGCAUACCAAACUCACAUUGUACAACCCUCCAAAAAUGCGAGGUAAACUGCGUACCUCAAUUAAAAAUGAUAGACACGAGCACACCAUGGAAAUGAAAUAUCUCACAAAUAUAAAUCUCUGCCAACCACUCCGACGAAUAGGAAACUAUUACCGGAAUGAAAUGCAACGAUUAGUUAGCCUAUUCACAAUAACACAUACUGCGUCGAACUUCCUCUGAGUCCGUGGAAGUCCAACAACGAAGUCCAUAUUGAUACGCCCCCACUUCCACUAAGGAAUCUCAAUCUUCUGAAGCAAACCACUAGGUCUCUGAUGCUCGUACUUUACUUGCUGACAAUUCAAACACCGAGCUACAUAUAGAACAGUAUCCUUCUUAAUUCUCCUCCACCAAUAAUGCUUCCUCAAGUCCUGAUACUUCUGGGCAGCGCCCGGAUGAAUAGAAUACUAGGAACUAUGGGCCUCCUCUAGAAUCAACUCACAAAUUCCAUCCACAUUAGGCACACAAACAUGACCCUGCAUCCUUAAAACUUCAUCAACUCUAACUAAAACCUGCUUGGCAUCUCCGUGCCACAGUGUGUCCUUAAGGAUAAGAAAAUGAGGAUCGUCAUACUGCCGAUCUCUGAUACACUCAAUUAAUGAAUAUUGAGCGACUGCGCAAGCUAGAACACGCCUGGGCUCAGAAACAUCCAACCUCACGAACUGAAUGGCUAAAGCAUGAACAUCUAAAGCAAGCGGUCACUCACCGGCUGGAAUAUAUGGAAGGCUAUCCAUACUGGCUGACUUCCUACUCAAAGCAUCGACCACUACAUUAGCCUUUGCAGGAUGAUACAAGAUGGUGAUAUCAUAAUACUUCAAUAACUCCAACCACCUCCCCUGCCUCAAGUUUAGCUCCUUCUGUUUGAACAAGUAUUGCAAAAUCUUGUGAUCUGUGAACAGCUCAUAUGACGUGCCAUAUAAUAUCUUCAAAUCUUCAGCAUGUGAACAAUGGUUACUAGCUCCAAAUCAUGAGCUGGAUAAUUCUUCUCGUGGAUAUUCAACUGCCGUGAAGCAUAUGCAAUAACAUUGCCAUUCUGCAUCAACACUACACCAAUCCAUAUACAAGAUGUGUUAUAAUACAUUGUAUAUGGCCCAGAACAUAUGAGCAACACCAACACCGACACCAUAGUCAAAGCAAUCUCGAGCUUCUGAAAGUUCACCUCGUACUCGUCCGACCGCCUGAACGGGGCACCCUUCUGGGUAAAUCUGGUCAUCAAGGCUGCUAUGGAUGAAAACCCCUCCAUAAACCGAUGGUAGUAUCCUGCCAAACCCAAGAAACUCCAAAUCUCUAUAGCAGAUGUGGGUCUAGGCUAGUCCUUGACUGCCUCAAUCGUUUUAGGAUCCACCUGAAUGCCCUCUACUGAUACAACUUGAUUCAAGAACGCAACUGACUCAACCAAAAUUCGCAUUUUGACAACUUAUCAUAUAACUGGUUGUCCCUUAAGAGUCCAAAAAAUUACUCGAAGAUGUUUUUCAUGCUCCUCUCGACGGUCGGAGUAGAUCAAGAUAUCAUCAAUGAAAACAAUCACAAAGGAAUCUAGAUAGCGCUUGAACACUCGUUUCGUCAAAUCCAUGAAUGCUUCCGAGGCAUUUGUUAACCCAAAUGACAUCACUAGAAACUCAUAAUGACUAUGCCGAGUGCAAAAAUUUGUCUUAGACAUCGAAUGCCCUAAUCCUCAACUGAUGGUAGCCAGCCCUCAAAUUAAUCUUCGAAAAAACCUUGGCACCCUGAAGCUGAUCAAAUAAAUCAUCAAUCCUCAGCAAUGGAUACUUGUUCUUGAUGGUGACAUUAUUCAACUGGCGAUAGUUUAUGCACUUCAUCAUCGACCCAUCCUUCUUCUUAACAAACAACACCGGCGCACCCCAAGGCGAGACACUAGGUCUAAUAAAGCCCUUAUCAAGCAAAUCCUGGAAUUGUUCCUUAAAUUCCUUCAACUCUAGCGGGGCCAUGCGGUACGGCAGAAUAGAAAUGGGCUGAGUGCCCGAAGCUAAAUAAUGCAAAAGUAAAUAUCCCUAUUGGUGGCAUCCCCAGUUGUUCUGCAGCAAACACCUCGGGAAACUCAUGAAAAGGAACCUCUACACUGGAUUCGCGAACAUAAGCCAAACACACCUUCUCGACCCUACGCCGAGCCUUCGUAUAAGAAAUGAAUAUGCUGGUAGAAUGACCAGGAGUCCCUCUCCACUCUAAUCGACACAAUCUCGGCAAGGCUAAGGUCAGGGUCUUCGCGUGACAGUCCAAUAUGCCAUGAUAAGGUGGCAGCCAUCCAUCCCCAAGAUGAUAUCAAAAUUGACCAUAUUCAGAAGUAGGAGGUCUAUACGGAUCUCAAGACUCCCAACUAUAACCACACACAAGUGAUAGACAUGAUCUACAAUAAUAAAAUAACCCACCGAUAUGGACACAUAUACAGGAGCACUCAAAGAGUCAUGAGGCACAACCAAAUACGUAGCAAAUUAAGAUGACACAUAGAAGUACGUAGAUCCUGGAUCAAAUAGAACUGAAGCAUCACUAUUGAAAACUGAAAUCGUACCUAUGAUAACGGUAUUGGAUACCUUAGACUCAAGGCUGGCAGGGAAAGCAUAACAUCGGGGCUGGGCCCUACCACUCUAAACUACAUCCCGGGGACGACCUCCUGUUGGAUGGCCUCCACCUCUAGUGGCCUGACCUCCACCUCUAAUACUUCAACCUCCACCUCUAGGUGCCUGACCCCUAUCUCUAGCCGGAUGAGCGGACGGUGGAACACCCGGUGCCAGAGCCAUGGCAUAGGAAUCCUGAUGCUGAGAACUGCUCGAUGCUCGAGGGCAAAAUCUAGCAAUAUGUCUUGAAUCAUCACAAGUAUAACAAGGCCUCGACUCCUGGGACUACUGACCCUAAAAAUAACCCUGACGGCCUGACUAACCGCCCUAAAAACUCUGAAGUGGAGGUGUACUGAUAGGAGCUGGUGGUACAUUGUAGGGUAGCUGACCAGAAUACUGCAUAUGAGAACCACGUCCCCUUGAACCACCGCGAGAAGCCUGAAGUGCUGAAUGAAAUGGCCUGGGAGGAUAGCCCCUACCAAAUGGAUCCCUGCCUCCAAACGAGGCACCACUGAACCUACCAGAAUGACGAGGCCUCUUAUUAGAUCCCUAACCACUCUCCUGAUCUAGAACUGCCUCAACUCUUUGGGCCAUAUUGGCUGCAUCCUAAAAAGAAAUCUCAAUGCCCGUCUCCUUAGCCAUCUGCAAUCUGAUAGGCUAGCGGAGCCCCUCAAUGAACCUCCCGUCUCUCUCUCUCUCUCUCUCUCUCUCUCUUUCUCUCUCUCUCUCUCUCUCUCUGCGUGUGUGUGUGGGGGGAGUAUAAGAAGAGCAUGACAAACCAAAUCAAAAAAGUAGUCUCAUAUUGAGUUACAGUCAUAGAACCCUGCUGAAGAUGCUCGAACUGCCUGCGGUAGUCCUCUCUCUGAGUGACAGGAAGGAUCUUAAAAAAUAGUUGAGACAACUGGUCCCAAGUCAAGGCAGGCGACCCAACUAGUCUACUCAACACAAAAUCAUUACACCAUCUCUUGGCAUACCCUAUCAUCUGGAAUACAGCGAAGUCGACCCCAAUGGUCUCUACUAUCCCCAUGUUCCGCAACACCUCAUAGCAAUGGUCAAGAUAAACCCGAGGGUCCUUAGAAGUUGACCACUGUAAUAAACCAGGAAAAGCUUGGUGAACUUAUCCAACCUCAACAAAGCCUCAUAUGACAUAGAUGAUCAACCAACAGCCUGACCCGCAAUAACUAGACAAGCUAUUCCUAUUGGCUAAGCUGCUGGAUUCUGGAACUGGGGAGCCAUCUGCUCCAGAGUGCCAGUAGUAGGAGUCUGUGCUCCUCCCCCAGCCUCAGAUACGGCUAGUGCUACAGGAAGUAUGCCUUCCUGAGUGAAACUCUCCAUAAAGCCCACUUGACGGACUAAAGCAUCCUGAAGUACCGGGGUAGCGAUGAACCCCUCUGGAACCUCAGCUGGCCCUGCUGGAACGGUAUGAGCAGGAACCUCAUCCUCAAACUCUACCUGAGGCUCCACUGGUGAUGCUGGUGCUUGAGCUCUAGGUUGAGCCCUGCCCCUACCUCGGCCUCUAUCAUUGCCUCAGCCUCGUCCUUUAACCCUCGUAGGAGCUACCACUAGGGUCUCAAGCUAGUGAUCAGUGGAUGAAGCAGUACGUGUUUUCGCCAUCUGAGAAAGAACAGAGUAGAAGUUCAAUUAGCAUUGAGAAGUCAAAUUGAACGAUAAAGAAGAAUAAAUUUGAAGUUAUUCCUAAACUCUGUAGCCUCUGGGAGAUGAGCACAGACUUCUUCAUACCGAUCACUCGGAAUCUACCUAGCUUGUUCGUGAAUUAUGAAACCUAGGCAACCUAGUGCUCUAAUACAACCUUGUCACGACCCGAAUUUUCCACCGCCCGGAUCGUGAUGGCGCCUACUCUUGAAAGCUAGGAAACCUUAAAAAUACAGUUGUAUCAUAUUAAUUAUUAACAAGAAUAGAAUUAAACAGUAGUUUAAGCCAAACAAAGAUAAGGUGAGAAAGUGUUAUAAUAGCUCAAUAAUUUUAAUACAUGACUACCCCAAUGAUCUGGUGUCACAAUCCACCAACGCUAAGAAAUCCUUCAAAUAUUAAAUUAAAAACAAUACAUCUGUUCUCAAAAUAGAAAGAGACAAGAAAAACUAAAAUAGAGGAAGGGGAAAUUCAGGGUCUGCAAAACCUGGCAGAUCUACCUUAGGUCUCUCGUGGACUGAAAGAAGCAACCUCAACUCUACUCACGAGGUUCGGCACCGAAAUCUGCAUAGAAAGUGCAGAGCCCAGUAUUAGUACAACCAACCCCAUGUACUGGUAAGUGUCAAGCCUAACCUCGGCAAAGUAGUGAUAAGGCUAGGACAAGACAACUAUAAACAUAUGCAGUUAAAUCAUAUACGAGAAACAAUAAUAACAGAAAUUUAACAGAUAAAGACAGGAAAGGACAACAUGCUGAUGGAAUAUCAAAUUAUGGUAGUAAUAAAGUAAAGAGGCAUGGUAAAUAUUAAACUUCGAAUCAACAGAAAUAAAAAUAGUAACAUGUGCAGCAUCACCCUUCGUGCUUUUACUCUCGUUAUCACCAUAAAAAUUAACAGCAAUGGCACGGCAUCAUCCUUCGUACAUUAACUCUCUCAUAAUUAUGGUAUGACAUCACCCUUCAUGCAUUAGCACUCAUAGAAAUGUGGCAGGCAUCACCCUUCAUACAUUACACUCACUGAAUAUUGCACGGCAAGACCUUCUUGUAUUAACACUCUCUCACUAUAUCGUGCACAGCAUCACCCUUCGUGUUUUGCACUCUUCCUCACCCAAACAAUAGGACCAAUAACAUCCCCACAAGGGAAUCAACUACAACCAAUCUCGUUUCAACAGUUAAAUUCAUAAUGUAAGUCUCAACUUGAGUCAAUACUCAACAUUCACCCAAUAACAACAAAAUAUAACCAAACUUGUUCAACAUGAAGAGUAACCAGCAUAAGCAUGAACAAUACGUGAUAAGAGACACAUAGGCGAGAAGUAUAAGACUCAUUUGCAUGCUAUGACCCAACAACAACGUAUAGACACUCGUCACUACAUUUAUAUGUCGUACUCAACAACUAAACACGUAGCAAAUAAGUCAACAACGCAUAUUCUCUCAAGCUAAGGUUAGACCAAACACUUACCUCAAUUCCACAGUCAAAAAUCAUGCUUUAAUUACCGCUUUACCUUUCGAUUCCACUUCCAUUUCUCUUAUAUCUAGUCAUAAUUAACUUAAUAACAUCAAUAAAUGUUAAAAACUCAAUUCCCAUGUUUAAUUAUAGAUUUCCUGACAUUUUCCCAAAAAGUCAAAAAUCGACCCCGGGGCUCCUCGGUCAAAACCCAAAGUACGGACAAAAACCCGAUUACACAUUCACCUACGAGCCCAAAUAUGCUAUUGGUUUUGAAAUCUGACCUCAACUUGAAGUAUGAAUCCCCAAAUUUUGAAAUUCCUAAAUUCUGCCAAAAAACACCCAAAUUUCCAUGAUAAAAACUCUAGAUUCUAGGAUGAAAUGUUCUAAAAAGAUGAAAUAGAUUGGAAGAAAUAAGUUAAGAAUAAUUCGCCUAUGAUUUGAGGAAGAACUGGCUCAAGGAAAAUCGCCACUUGGAGUUUAGGUUUUGAAAAUUUGAAGAAUGAAUGAAAAAUCCGUCCAAGACCUUUUUUACUCAGCUGCAGAUGUUGCAAUUGUGAAUAGAAUGCGAAACUCGCAAUAGCGAAAGGUCUAUCUUAAUUGUAAAUAAAAAUCCAUGCUGCCUUCGCAAAUGUGGAGAAAGUGUCGCAUUUACGACCACAGACCUCACAAUUUUGAUCAAAUGAUCGCAUUUGCGAUAUUUUCCCUUCCCAGACUCCCUUUGCAUUUGCGAAGGUUUGUUUGAAUUUGCACACUAUGUUAGCCCAGCCUUUUGAUCGCAUUUGCAAUGAAAGGCUCGCAAUUUUCAAACCUGUGAAGCUCGUAAUUGCGGAAGCUUAAUCUCCCAAUUGCGAGAUCAGAGGCUUGCAACAACUGAAGCAUACCACCAAUAUUUUUUCUAAGUCCAAAACAAUUCGUGGCCUUUUCAAAGCUCACCGGAGUCCUCGGAGCUCCAAACCAAACAUGUGAAGAAGUCUAAAAACAUCAUACGCACUUGCUCGUGCAAUCAAAUUGCCAAAAUAACAUCUUAAAUAAAACAUUUAACACCAAAACUCAUGAAAUGCACAAGAUAGUUCAAAAAUUUUAUUUUCUUAACCAAGGGUCCAAAUUUCAUCAAAUCUCUUCUGUUUUUUACUAAAUUUCACAGAUAAGGUCUAAAUACUAUAACAGACUUGCACCGAGGUCCGGAGCCAAAAUACGGACCAUAUACCAAUGAGAUCACACACUAUUCCAUCUCUAAAAAAAUUUAUAUUUUCCAGCAAAUAAUUUUCUUCAAAAAUUUAUUUCUCAGGCUAGGGACCUCGGAAUUUGAUUACGGGCAUACACCCAAGUCCCAUAUUUUACUACGGACCCUACAAGACCGUCAAAUCACGAGUCCGGGCCUGUUUACUAAAAACGUUAAUCAAUUGUAAAGGCAAGUUUCAAUAUUUUUCUUAAAUUUCACGUAAAGGCUUUCCGGAGACACGCCCAAACUGCUCACGCAAAUCGAAAAAAAGGUUUUUAAGGCCUUGAAACACGGAUUCAGAUUCUAAGACAAAAUAUGGCCCUUUGGGUCAUCACAAAUAGUAGUAUGGUUUUAUAUUGCUCCGCUCGAGUAUUAUAUUUUACCUCGUUAAAAGAUUUGGUAUCACUGUUAAUUUCUUGUAUUAUUAUUAUUUUUACCAUGAAUAUUAUUCUUGGCCAGGAUAUUAUUUUUCCCAACACUGGAAACAACCAUCCAAACAGGGGGGUAUAUGUAGAUUAUUUCUUCUUCUUUUUUUUCCCCAAAGAAGCUGAUCUAUUUUAAUUUAUUUAGAAUAUCCAAGAAGCAUAUGCUAGCAAAUGGAUCACUACUCACUAGCUAGUUGCUGAUAAUUAAUGUGAUUGAACUUACCUAAUGUGUUGUUAUCCUGUGCUUUAUUUUAAAUACUUAUUUUUGUUGAUUAACUUCCCUUCCUUCUCUUAUUAUGAUGUUAGUAGUAUUUUUUAAGUAUAUAGGAUUAAAAAAUAGGAUUAUAGGAUUAAUUUGUCCAGUACUGUUAGCUAUUAUUGUUUUAUACUGAAACAGCUUUCAGCUUCCAACAACUACUAAUUUUAUAUAAAGCAAAAAAAUAUAAACAAACUCCGUGGGGGUUGAGUAGCUUACCAAAUACAAAUAAAAAUUUCACCAUUAAUAUCUGCACAUUAUUAGUAGUAUUUAAAACUCUUAACACCUUCAUAUCAAUGGAUAAUUAUUGAAGUUUUCUCCAAUAUUUUAAUUCAACUUACUGCUACUUAACAAUGUUGACCCUUGUGUUAUUAUCCUCAAUUCUUCACGCAUGAACAAUAACUCAACAAUAUGGCAUCCCUUUUCUCUUGUUUUUUUUGUGGCGAAGGCUUUGGAAAGGAUCGCAGUAUAAGGAGAGAUUGGAGCUUUCCCCAUUCUCCUCCUUUGGACCCAGAUUUAUCUGACGUUGAAGAAGAUGAUAAAUAUAUGUACCCGCAAAAGAUUGCUCUAGGAGGAUCUGCUCCUUUAGCUGCAACUACAGCUACUGUUGUCUAUACAAAUGCUGACGAUGAUAUUGGAUACAGUAGUGAUGGAGGUGGUGGUGAGAAUAACCCCGUUAAUGGUAGUGAUAACGGGGGUAAUAGUACUCCUCCAACAGGUGGUUACGGUGAUGGUGGCUAUGAAUAUGCCGAUGGUGGAUACGGUAGUGAUGGUGGAUAUGCUAGUGGUGACGGAGGAGAAGAAGGUGGCGGCGACCGCAACUAUGGCGGAGAGGAUGACUGUAGCUACGGCGGCGGUGGAUACGAGAGUGCAUGAAAAGCAACACAUGCAUGCGAUCGAUCAGUUUAUCCUUCCAGUUUGUGUGCAAUAUUAUUUUUCAUCGUUAAACUUUUUUUAUUUUUAUUUUACUUUAAUUUAUAUGUAUUAAAGAUUGAGAAAGCUUGUCCUAGCAUGCAUGCCCAUUCUUGUAGGAUCCUUUAUCUUCUUAUUUUGUUGUUUAGUUUGUGA
Molecule: long non-coding RNA, 44383 nt
Filed under: Nicotiana benthamiana
Lineage: Eukaryota; Viridiplantae; Streptophyta; Magnoliopsida; Solanales; Solanaceae
Description: long non-coding RNA (NBEN_LNC009353)
Source: RNAcentral